GAUGAAGAACGCAGCGAAAUGCGAUAAGUAAUGUGAAUUGCAGAAUUCAGUGAAUCAUCGAAUCUUUGAACGCACAUUGCGCCCAUUAGUAUUCUAGUGGGCAUGCCUGUUCGAGCGUCAUUAAGUCCACUUAAGCCCUGCUUAGUGUUGGGAGACUGCUCCAGCGGUGCUACCCUGUAGCUACCCUGCAGCUCCUCAAAGACAGCGGCGGAGUUGUGGUAUCCUCUGAGCUUAGUAACUUGUUCUAGCUUUCGAGUACACCACUUCCCCUGCCGUAAAACCCUGAAUUUUUAAUGGUUGACCUCGGAUCAGGUAGGAAUACCCGCUGAACUUAAGCAUAUCAAUAAGCGGAGGA
This 355-nucleotide unclassified non-coding RNA is filed under the name soil metagenome. Its description in RNAcentral is "partial contains 5.8S ribosomal RNA, internal transcribed spacer 2, and large subunit ribosomal RNA". The stretch from base 1 to 120 matches the Rfam family "5.8S ribosomal RNA", at positions 35 to 154 of the family's 154-position model. The record is from RNAcentral.